Molecule: unclassified non-coding RNA, 253 nt
Filed under: uncultured Sphingomonadaceae bacterium
Lineage: Bacteria; Pseudomonadati; Pseudomonadota; Alphaproteobacteria; Sphingomonadales; Sphingomonadaceae
Description: contains 16S-23S intergenic spacer region
Rfam family: Bacterial small subunit ribosomal RNA
Source: RNAcentral
UACGAAGGGGGCUAGCGUUGUUCGGAAUUACUGGGCGUAAAGCGCGCGUAGGCGGCCUAUCAAGUCAGGGGUGAAAUCCCGGGGCUCAACCCCGGAACUGCCUUUGAAACUAAUAGGCUAGAAUCUUGGAGAGGCGAGUGGAAUUCCGAGUGUAGAGGUGAAAUUCGUAGAUAUUCGGAAGAACACCAGUGGCGAAGGCGACUCGCUGGACAAGUAUUGACGCUGAGGUGCGAAAGCGUGGGGAGCAAACAGG